AACGCACAUUGCGCCCACUGGUAUUCCGGUGGGCAUGCCUGUUCGAGCGUCAUUAUCCUCCCUCAAACCCCAGGUUUGGUGUUGGACCCAAGUUGUGUGAACAACUGGUCUCAAAGACAAUGACGGCGUCCGUGGGACCCUCGGUGCAACGAGCUUUUAGGAGCACGCAUCGAGUUGCAAGGACCUUCCGGGCCGGUCUCCUUUACUAUUUUACAAGGUUGACCUCGGAUCAGGUAGGAAUACCCGCUGAACUUAA
This 256-nucleotide unclassified non-coding RNA is filed under the name uncultured Knufia. RNAcentral describes it as "sequence contains ITS2". The stretch from base 1 to 52 matches the Rfam family "5.8S ribosomal RNA", at positions 103 to 154 of the family's 154-position model. Lineage: Eukaryota; Fungi; Ascomycota; Eurotiomycetes; Chaetothyriales; Chaetothyriaceae. The record is from RNAcentral.